GAGCUCGACUGAGAAUUAAAGUGAGUGAACAAAGAGAACUCCCAGCAGCCGCCCGCCAGCGCCUCGCAGCUGCAUCUGGAGACGCUAGUCACGCCCGGAAGGCUGUUCGAGUCCGCCUCCCUGGGAAAAUAACUCAAAUAAAUAAUUGAUGGAGAUUGAUCGGACCCGAAACAAAGCUUUGCAGAAAACCAAUGCAUCCGAUUUUAAGCGGUUUUGGAAUCCUCUGCCAAGUACGGGAUGUGAGAGUGGACCUACGACUUUGAGUGCGGCUGCAGAUCUUCCAUCUCGGGCGUGGCUCUGGCCUUUUUGUCUUCCUGUCUCCCUCCUCCCACUCUCACCCCGACCCCCUGUCCCUGUCUUCUCUUUCCUCUUGAAAGUAGUCUCUCUUGCAUUACUUCUAUCCUGUCCUCCUUUGCAAUCCCGCCUUCUCCCCUGCCCAGUCCGGUGAGGUCAGCUCAUGAAUACCACUGCACUUCCUGGGGAGCGUCUGGCACUGCUUGGUACCUCCAGCGUUCGCCUACUGAGAGCUGCAGCCUUAAGCCCUGCAGUCCACAGCCGAGAAGUAAACGACUCCGAGGGCAAGUGAGUCUUCUGGUUACCGCCAUUGUUUGGAGAAAUUCAGUGAGUGAGAAACUGGGAAGAGCGGGCCCGAAGUCUUACUCAGCCAGAGUCGCAUAUAAUACUAAGAAGAUGAAUUUUCCUGGUCUCUGAAAGACACUGGAAUAGACCCUGAGGUUUCCGGAAUAUUGAUGAUUUGCUUCAACUUCUUCCAAACAUCGUCUCUCCUGAGAAGGUCUUCCUAAGUCGCCAUGAGUCAGCCACCGACCGGGGGCGCUGCCCCUGCCGCAACAGCAGCUUCUGCCGCCGCCGCAGCCACCGAGGCUCGUCUGCACCCGGAGGGCAGCAGCAGAAAGCAGCAGCGAGCUCAGUCACCAGCUAGACCAAGGGAAAAUUCUCUCCGACAGACAGCCGGGGCCAACCGGUCCGCUGUGGGGGCCGGCACCAAACUCAAUUCUGUUCGGCAGCAGCAGCUGCAGCAGCAGCAGCAGCAGCAGCAGCAGCAACAGCAGGGUAACAAGGCUACCAGCCGCGCGGCAUCUCAGGCCUGUGCCCGAGGAGGCGGAGGCGGGGCGGAGAAGGCGGCGCCCCUGGCGCCCAAAGGGGCUGCUCCGGGAGCUGUCCAGCCUGCGGCUGGUGCUGAAGCGGCCCCCUUGGCGACCCUGGCCGCUGUGGGCGGCAGGAGGCCGGGGCUGCCGGAGGAGCCAUCCCGUGAGCUAGAAUCCGUGCCCUCGAAAGUCGGGGAACCCCCUCCUCUCAGGGAAGGAGGAGGAGGGGACGGGGAAGGAGGAGGAGCCGGCGGAGGCUCCGGGGAAAGGGAGGGGGGCGCUCCGCAGCCGCCGCCGCCCAGGGGCUGGCGAGGGAAAGGCGUACGCGCUCAGCAGAGGGGAGGCAGCGGCGGGGAGGGGGCCUCCCCUUCGCCAUCCACCUCUUCUGCGGGUAAAACCCCAGGCCCCAGCAGCAGAAACUCCGGAAGCGGCGUUGCGGGGGGCGGCAGCGGCAGUGGAGGGAGCUACUGGAAAGAAGGAUGUCUGCAGUCUGAGCUCAUCCAGUUCCACCUCAAGAAGGAGCGGGCGGCGGCAGCGGCCGCGGCGGCUCAGAUGCACACUAAGAACGGCGGAGGCGGUAGCAGCAGCCGUAGCUCCCCAGUCGCGGGCGCCCCUGCCAUCUGUGAGCCCCUCGUCCUCCCUUCCACCUCCCCAAUGGCGGCGGCAGCGGAGGGCCCCCAGCAGAGCGCAGAGAGCAGUGGUAGCGGCGGGGGCAUGCAGGCGGCGGCGCCCCCUUCGUCGCAGCCGCACCCGCAGCAGCUCCAGGAACAGGAAGAAAUGCAGGAGGAGAUGGAGAAGCUGCGAGAAGAGAAUGAGACUCUCAAGAAUGAGAUCGAUGAGCUGAGAACUGAGAUGGACGAGAUGAGGGACACUUUCUUCGAGGAGGAUGCCUGUCAACUGCAGGAAAUGCGCCACGAGUUGGAGAGAGCCAACAAAAACUGCCGAAUCCUGCAGUACCGCCUCCGCAAAGCCGAGCGCAAGAGACUCCGCUACGCGCAGACUGGGGAGAUCGAUGGGGAGCUGUUGCGCAGCCUGGAGCAGGACCUCAAGGUUGCAAAGGAUGUAUCUGUGAGACUUCACCAUGAAUUGGAAAAUGUGGAAGAAAAGAGAACAACAACAGAAGAUGAAAAUGAGAAACUGAGGCAACAGCUUAUAGAAGUUGAAAUUGCAAAGCAAGCCUUACAGAAUGAACUGGAAAAAAUGAAAGAGUUAUCCUUAAAAAGAAGAGGAAGCAAAGAUUUGCCAAAAUCUGAAAAAAAGGCUCAACAGACUCCCACAGAGGAGGACAAUGAAGAUCUGAAAUGCCAGCUGCAGUUCGUUAAAGAAGAAGCUGCUUUGAUGAGAAAGAAAAUGGCCAAGAUCGAUAAAGAAAAGGACAGAUUCGAACAUGAGCUGCAGAAGUACAGAUCAUUUUAUGGGGAUCUGGACAGUCCCUUGCCCAAAGGAGAAGCUGGGGGUCCUCCUAGUACCAGGGAGGCGGAGCUCAAGCUUAGGCUGAGGUUGGUGGAGGAAGAGGCCAACAUCCUGGGCAGGAAAAUCGUUGAACUGGAGGUGGAGAACAGAGGCCUGAAGGCUGAACUGGACGACCUCAGGGGCGAUGACUUCAAUGGGUCGUCCAACCCUCUCAUGAGGGAACAGAGUGAAUCCCUUUCUGAGUUGCGGCAGCACCUGCAGCUGGUGGAGGACGAAACAGAGCUGCUGCGGAGGAACGUGGCAGACUUGGAGGAGCAGAACAAGCGCAUAACUGCGGAACUGAAUAAGUACAAGUACAAGUCUGGAAGCCACGACAGUGCCCGACACCAUGACAGCGCCAAGACGGAGGCCCUGCAGGAGGAGCUGAAGGCUGCGCGCCUGCAGAUCAACGAGCUCAGCGGCAAGGUCAUGCAGCUACAGUAUGAGAACCGCGUGCUCAUGUCCAACAUGCAGCGCUACGACCUGGCCUCGCACUUGGGCAUCCGUGGCAGCCCCCGCGACAGCGACGCUGAGAGCGACGCGGGCAAGAAAGAGAGCGACGAUGACUCGCGGCCACCGCACCGCAAGCGGGAAGGGCCCAUCGGUGGCGAGAGCGACUCGGAGGAGGUGCGGAACAUCCGCUGCCUCACGCCCACCCGCUCCUUCUACCCUGCGCCAGGUCCCUGGCCCAAGAGCUUCUCCGACAGGCAGCAGAUGAAGGACAUCCGUUCUGAGGCCGAACGCCUGGGCAAGACCAUCGACCGGCUCAUCGCCGACACCAGCACCAUCAUCACCGAGGCGCGCAUCUAUGUGACCAACGGGGACCUGUUCGGACUGAUGGAUGAGGAGGACGACGGCAGCCGCAUCCGGGAGCAUGAGCUGCUCUACCGCAUCAACGCGCAGAUGAAGGCCUUUCGCAAGGAGCUGCAGACCUUCAUCGACCGCCUGGAGGUGCCCAAAUCCGCGGACGACCUUGGCGCCGAGGAGCCCAUAUCCGUGAGUCAGAUGUUCCAGCCUAUCAUUUUACUUAUUCUCAUUCUUGUAUUAUUUUCAUCGCUGUCUUACACAACAAUAUUUAAACUUGUCUUCCUUUUUACACUGUUUUUUGUACUGUAAAUCUUUCAUCAUUUACCAUUCAUUGUAGUAUUUUCAGUUUGUUUUAUUUUGUUCACCCUUCAAGACAAGAAGUAAAAGAAGUCUAGUUUCUGUAGUAACCAAUGCUGUAAAAACACUGAAGACUGCUUAUUUCUGUAAAAAGACACAGCUCAUCUUACCUCUUCCCAAUUCAAUAAGAAGGCCAAACACAAAAUAUUUCAGGCUUUAUUUUAAAGGCAAGUGAGACUGAUUCAAA
Ictidomys tridecemlineatus (thirteen-lined ground squirrel) is the source of this 3909-nucleotide non-coding RNA. The record is from RefSeq and is a predicted model, not a curated record. Lineage: Eukaryota; Metazoa; Chordata; Mammalia; Rodentia; Sciuridae.